GACGGAGGGUGCGAGCGUUGUUCGGAUUGACUGGGCGUAAAGGGCGUGUAGGCGGUCGGCCAAGUCUGGUGUGAAAGCCCGGGGCUCAGCUCCGGAAGUGCGCCGGAAACUAGCUGGCUGGAGCGCGGUAGAGGAGGGGUGGAAUUCCUGGUGUAGCGGUGAAAUGCGUAGAUAUCAGGAGGAACACCGGCGGCGAAGGCGGCCCUCUGGACCGUUGCUGACGCU
Molecule: ribosomal RNA, 225 nt
Filed under: uncultured bacterium
Lineage: Bacteria
Description: partial 16S ribosomal RNA
Rfam family: Bacterial small subunit ribosomal RNA
Source: RNAcentral